AAUUAGGAGAGUUUGAUCCUGGCUCAGAACGAACGCUGGCGGCACGCUUAACACAUGCAAGUCGAACGGCAGCGGGUCCUUCGGGAUGCCGGCGAGUGGCGAACGGGUGAGUAAUACGUGGAAACCUAUCCCGAGGUGGGGGAUAACAGCUGGAAACGGCUGCUAAUACCGCAUAAGCCCUAAGGGGGAAAGAUUUAUCGCCUUGGGAGGGGUCCACGUCGGAUUAGCU
RNAcentral lists this ribosomal RNA (229 nucleotides) under Magnetococcales bacterium. RNAcentral describes it as "partial 16S ribosomal RNA". It matches the Rfam family "Bacterial small subunit ribosomal RNA", at positions 1 to 246 of the family's 1533-position model. The record is from RNAcentral. Lineage: Bacteria; Pseudomonadati; Pseudomonadota; Magnetococcia; Magnetococcales.